Molecule: non-coding RNA, 5811 nt
Organism: Callithrix jacchus (white-tufted-ear marmoset)
Lineage: Eukaryota; Metazoa; Chordata; Mammalia; Primates; Cebidae
Source: RefSeq, a predicted model, not a curated record
AAAUCUGUUCUCUGGAACUUGCAAGAAAACUGUCCUCUAUGGCAUGAGAGAAUGAGAGAAAGUCAUUCACAGAGAGGUUUCUUACUGGAGGCACUCUGCUACAAAAUUUCCAAAGGCGGGGACACUGGGGAAAGUUGCUGGCCUUGUGGUGCUGCUGGCUGCUGUGCACUGCAGGAUCGGCAUCCUGGAGUAGCUGCCUGCAUAGUAGGAGGCUGCUAAGUGACCACACCUGAAUCAGGAAAAGCAUCCCUCGGGAGCAUGAGGAAGAAGGCGACAUUCUCAGGAUGGUGGAGAGAGAAGCUAGGAGACUGGAUAUGUGAUGUCCCACUGGUGCUCCCCUGUUAACUCUGAUCUGCCUUUCUUCCUAUUCCUCAUUAAAAAAAACAAUCUCUGUCUUGACUGGGGCACUUUUAUUUAUUUUUGGUUCCCUGCAGUUGAAUUUAAUUCCCACUGAUAGAACUGUGUCUAGUGCAAAGACUCAUCUGGGUAUGAUUGUCAUGAGAUCACUUUAGCCAAUAAACAGAAAUUAUGUGAAAUCUUUUUUGUGUGUGUGUGUGACAAUCUCACUCUGUUGCCCAGGCUGGAGUGUAGCGGUACAGUCAUAGCUCACUGCAGCCUCGAACUCUUGGGCUCAAGCCAGCCUCUCACCUCAGCCACCCAAAGUGCUGGGAUUAUAGAUAGAAGGUACUACGUCCAGCCAAAAAUCACUUUUCAUAGUUUACACACAUUGACUUUCUUAGAUGACAGGCAAGUCAUGAUUAUAAAAAAAAAUAUUUCUGAGCACUUUUUACCCAAUAUGUUUUUUUAAAGUUUGAUAUCUAACACCUGUACAAAAAUGGACAGUCAUAUGUUGUACAUCUCAAAGAAUUUUCAGAAGUUGGACACAAACAUGUAACCACCCAGAUCAAGAAAUGAUAUUAUUCACACCCCGGAAGCACCCCCUCAAUUACCCAUUCAGUCAGCACUUAUACAAAGGAAACUGCUUACUGACUUUUAAUGACGUAGAUAGUUUUGCCAAUUUUUGAGUGUUACAUAAGUGGCAUCAUAUAGCAUUUGGUUUUGGUGUCUGCCCUCUGUUAACAUGUUUGUGAAUUCCUUCAUAUCAUUGCCCUGGGAAGACACGGGCCAAGCUCAAAUCCUGAGGAACAGCUUGAGGGAAAUGAUGCAUGUGAGAUGAACAGGCAUUGCUUUUCACUGGUGUAUGCUGGGAAGAAGCAGUCCAUGGCCAGGUUGAGUAGCUGCCAGCCCAUCACAUUCAUCAGGAAGCUCAUCUGCAACUCUGAUACACAGAGCCAAGGUUCUGCGGCCAGAAGGAUGGCUGAGAUUCUCUAGACAAUAACUCAUUUGGACUCACAAACCUUUUGAAUCAUUGUAAUGAUCCUUUGGCACUUUGUGGAAAAUGAGUUCUGUCCUCUGUACAUAAAAAGGUGUGUUCAACCAAGUGUGGUGGCUUACCCUUGUAGUCCCAGGACUUUGGGAGGCCAAGCCAGGCAGAUUACCUAAGGUCAGGAGUUUGAGACCAGCCUGGUCAACAUGGAGAAACCCUGUUUCUACUAAAAAUACAGAAAUUAGCCGGGCAUGGUUGCACUCACCUGGAAUCCCAGCUACUUAGUAGGCUGAGGCAGGAGAAUUGCUUGAACUCGGGAGGCAGAGGUUGCAGUGAGCUGAGAUUGCACCACUGCACUCUGCCCUGGGUAACAGCAAGACUUUGUCUCAAAAAAGAAAAAAAAACCUUUGUGGUCAACUUAAUAUGGGCCAGCCCUUUGAGUUAUAUUCAUUAUAGUAUAUAGGAAUGUUUUAUGCAUUUUUCUGGAUGUCUGUAGUAUUUCAUAAUAAAAACACAUGCAAGGGACAUUUAAGUUACUAAAUGAAAUAAGUUAAUAUAUAUAGAGUAAAUUGCUUAUUUGUUCUUCUGGUAGACUGCAUUAUUUGUUCAAAACAUUUGCAGCCACUCCAUCUCAGUCCUUCCUAGCAGGCUCUCCCUACAAGUCAUCCUUGCUGGAGGAUUCUAUUUCCCAUGACAUUGACAUUAGGUGCAGCCAUGGGAUUUACUUUAGCCAAUGCAAGAUGAGUGGGAGUGGCCUGUGGCACUCCAGAACAGAAACUUUCAGAGCAAGAGGAUGGUUCUGCCACUUCUCUUUUCCCUCUGCCAGGAUAAUGUCAAUGUUCCAGAUAACAGUUGCUCCUGCAGUCUGAAUCUCAGGAUGACGAGGGCCUGGGGAAGAGCUACAGCUGAUGUGUAAUGUGAGUGAGAAAUAGGCCAUGGUGGUGGGAAGGUGCUAAGAUCUUGGGGUUCUUUGUUCUGCAGCAUAACCUGGUGAAAUCUGACUGAUAGGCACAUGGAAUGUUUUCACACCAUAAUAGCUAGUUAAAAUAAAUAGAAGAGUCCUCUGGGCUAAUCCUGACUUCUGUAGAUAAGGAGGUGAAGGGAAGAUAAUUAACAAACACCUAGCCUCGAAUUUCUCUUUUGUAAAGGGACUUUGGAAUUAACUUGAAAAAUUGGGGUAGGGUGCACUCUGACUUGUACCCAUAUCAAAAAUCAACUUUCUGCAUGGUCAAGUAUCAGAGAAAUUUAAGCCCUCUAGCCUUUUUUUUUUUUUUUUUUUUAUUAGAGUAAAUAAUUUUUGGCUGGGCACGGUGGCUCAUGCUUUUAAUCCCAGCACUUUGAGAGGCCGAGGCAGGUGGAUCACCUGAGGUUGGGAGUUCAAGACCAGCCUGGCCAGAACCAUGAAACCCUGUCUCUACCAGAAAUACAAAAUUAGCUGGGCAUGGUGGCAGGUGCCUGUAAUCCCAGCCACUUGGGAAGCUGAGUCAGGAGAAUCACUUGAACCUGGGAGGUGGAACUGAGAUCGCAACGUUACACUCUAGCCUGGGCAACAGAGGGAGACUGGUUUCAAAAAAAAGAAAAGAUUAAAUAAUUUAAAAAAUAGAUAUUUUUGUAAAAGACACACUGGGAGGAGGAGGUAAGAGUUACAACAAAAGAGUUAAUAAGGUCUUGUUCAAGGAAAAGUGGAGUCAUAAAGUACCUCCUGGACAUUAGAAAUACUGGUGCUUAUGGGCUAGCCGCGGUGGCUCACACCUAUAAUCCCAGCACUUUGGGAGGCCGAGGUGGGUGGAUCAUGAGGUCAAGAGAUCGAGACCAUCCUGGUCAACAAGGUGAAACCUCGUCUCUACUAAAAAUACAAAAAUUAGCUUGGCAUGGUGGUGUUUGCCUGUAGUUUCAGCUACUCAGGAGGCUGAGGCAGGAGAAUUGUUUGAACCUAGGAGGCGGAGGUUGUGGUCAGCUGAGAUCAUGCCAUUGCACUCCAGUUUGGGUAACAACAGCGAAACUCCGUCUCCAAAAAAAGAAAUACUGGUGCUUACAAAUUUGUUACAGGAUCAGGAGACAGAAUAAAAGGAACAAAAUGGAAAGGAGAAAGUGAAAUGUAAAACACUAUAGGAAAAGCAAGGAAACUUUUAAAAUACUAUAAUUUUUAAAUUUUUAAGUUAAAAAAACUUUAAAUUAUUUUGUAGAGAUGGGAUCUCACUAUGUUGGCCAGGCUGUUCUUAGACUCCUGGGUUCAAAUGAUCCACCACCUUGGCCUCUGAAAGUGCUGGGACUACAGGCAUGAGAUACCUCGCACGGUGAGAAUACCGUAUUUAUAUACAACUUGAUAAACUCCCUGAUGUUGCAGAGGAAGUGAAAAAGAACAUCAUUAAACCUGUAAAGCCUGGUUGCUGCUCACCUGAAGGCCACACAGAGUCACCCUUGUGAGAUAGGACUGGCAGCAUCUCUCUAUCCUUGUGUUAUGAUUUGGAGGCACUGUGUUCUCUCCUCACCACAUGUGUGUGUGUGUGUGUAUAUAUAUAUAUAUAUAUAUAUACAUUUUAUUUUAUUUUAUUUUAUUUUUUUUUAGAUCGAGUCUUGCUAUCACCCAGGCUGGAGUGCUGCAGUGGUACCAUCUAGGCUCACUGCAACCUAUGCCACCUGGGUUCCAGCAGUUCUCCUUCCUCAGCCUCCCGAGGAGCUGGGAUUACAGGUAUAUGCCACCAUACCCAGCUAAUUUUGUAUUUUUAGUAGGAGUGGGGUUUCUCUAUGUUGGUUAGGCUGGUCUUGAACUCCCAACCUCAGUUGAUCCUUCCGCCUUGGCCUCCCAAAAUGCUGAGAUUACAGGCAUGAGCCACUGCCUUUUUUUUUUUUUUUUUUUUUUUGAGGCAGAGUGUAGCUCUUGUUGCCUAGGCUGGAGUGCAAUGGUGUUAUCUCUGCUCACUGCAACCUCUGCCUUUCAGUUCAAGCAAUUCUCCUGCCUCAGCCUCCCAAGUAGCUGGGAAUACUCAGGAAGUACUCGGGGUGCAUGCCACCCCGGCCGGCUGAUUUUCGUAUUUUUAAUAGAGAUGGGGUUUCACCAUGUUGGCCAGGAUGAUCUUGAUGUCUUGACCUCAUGAUCUGCCCGCCUUGACCUCCCAAAGUGUUGUGAUUACAGGCGUGAGCCACCGAACUGGGCAAAUGUUAUUUCUUAAUUACAAUAAAUAAUGCAUGGAUAUAUGUGCAUAAGAAACAAAAGUCAACUAAGAAAGAAUAGAGCAAAAAGCUUAAGUCCUCUGUAUUAGUUCGCUAGGACUUACCUAACAAAAUACCAGCUGGGUGGCUUAAAAAGGGAAAUGUGUAUUCUCAGAGUCCUAGAGCCUUGAGGUCUCUGAUAAGAGCUUGACAGGUUGGGCUUUUUCUGAGGCCUCUCGCCUUGGUUUGUGGAUGGCCACUCUCUUGCUGCCUCUUCACAAGACUGUACCUCUGUACACAAGUGCCCUGAUGUUUCUGUGUGUGCCCAGAUUUCCUUUUUUAAGAACAUCAUGUCCAGGCGUGGUGGCUCAUGCCUGUAAUCCCAGCGCGUUUGGAGGGAGGCAGGGGUUGGAGUGAACCGAGAUUGCAUUCGGACCUACCCUCGUGGCCCCAUUUUAACUUAAUCACCCCUCUAAAGGCCAUAACUCCAAAUACAAUCACAUUUGGAGGUACUGGGUUCUACGGAUUUGACAUUGAAUUUGGGGGUACAUAAUUCAACCCAUAACACCCCUUUUCUCCUGUUUCCCCUCAAGUCCCAGCCUCUUCCUGGAAGUAAGUGAUGAACAAGGUGUGCUUGUAACAUUGGUGGGGUAAUCAAAUAGAGGCUGGGAAGGUUUCUGUAAACCGAACUGACGAGCAGUUGAAUAAAAAUGUUCUGUCCUCCUAUCUGGACAAAUGUGCCUUUAUAAUGACGUGGAAAGUCAGAUUUGGAUUUAGAAUAUCUUGACUCUCCACUAGUUCCUUGCCAGAAUGUGGCAGUAAGGCCUCCCUUUUCUUCCCAUGCCCAGCUCUGUCUGCAUCACAAAGGCCUCCUUAUGCACAUGUGUAUGGAGACUCACAUUCAGAUUCCUCUACACCCUCCUCAAACAGCCACCUAUUACUUAUUGGUUGGGCCUAGCAGUGGUCAUGAUAGUGGUACGCUCCAUCCUCAAGAGGACAUACCUAGGCUAAAACCCUCCCGUUCUUGAGAUGUUGACAUUAGGUGCCCUUUUGUGAAUAUGGGAAAGGAAGCAUGGAUAAAGGGAAAGCUGGAGUGCAAACCAGACUGGUUUGAUCUCAGCUCACUGCAAACUCCGCCUCCCGGGUUCAAGCAAUUCUUCUGCCUCAGCCUCUGGAGUAGCUUGGAUUCCAGAGACAAGGACUCCCUAUACCCAGGAUGGUCUCAAACUCCUGGCCUCAAGCAGUCCUCCCAUUUGGCCUGCCAGAAUGCUGGGUGUGAGCCACUGUGUGUGGCCAGAGAAGUUACUUUUAAGGAGUGAUAUUUGCUUGCU